CCUACGGGGGGCAGCAGUGAGGAAUAUUGGUCAAUGGCCGGGAGGCUGAACCAGCCAAGUCGCGUGAGGGAAGACGGCCCUACGGGUUGUAAACCUCUUUUGUCAGGGAGCAAGGUGCAGGUCGGGACCUGCUGUGAGAGUACCUGAAGAAAAAGCAUCGGCAAACUCCGUGCCAGCAGCCGCGGUAAUAGGGAGGAUGCGAGCGUUAUCCGGAUUUAUUGGGGUUAACGGGUGCGCAGGCGGAGGCACAAGUCAGCGGGAAAAUCGCGGGGCUCAACCCCGCUCCGCCGUUGAAACUGGUUGCCUUGAGUGCGGGAAGGGUAGGCGGAAUGCGUGGUGUAGCGGUGAAAUGCAUAGAUAUCACGCAGAACUCCGAUCGCGAAGGCAGCCUACCGGCGCGCAACUGACGCUCAUGCACGAAAGCGUGGGUAUCGAACAGGAUUAGAUACCCUAGUAGUC
This 459-nucleotide ribosomal RNA is filed under the name uncultured bacterium. Its description in RNAcentral is "partial 16S ribosomal RNA". It matches the Rfam family "Bacterial small subunit ribosomal RNA", at positions 338 to 795 of the family's 1533-position model. The record is from RNAcentral.